UCACUUGCCUGCUAACAAUUCCUCCCAAGUGGUAGGAUGGCUUUUUUUUUUCUGCUCAUAAUAAUACCCCAUUUUCCCUGGGGGCACAGGUGUUAUUCAAAGAAGGCUGUACUAUAAGAUUUUUGUUCCAAAGUUUUCCUGGCCAAAUGGCUACCACUUACUACAUCACCUCUAUAUCCCUACUAAUGUUUUCUGGCCCAAGCAGGAAUACGUAAAGGAAAACUAGAAGGAGACAUUGGGCUUCUAACACUGUAGUAGAGUGGGCAAAUCAAAGGCUAAAAGUCAUGUAAAUAAGGUUUUUCAUUUAUGAGAAUGAUAAGAAUUUUGGUCAACUCAAGAUGGAAUCCUCUUAAUUUGGGCAUCUAAAAUUUCUGCAUCACAAAAAAAGCCUGUGGUGUUAUGCUGGCUGGCUAGGUUGAAACAGAACAAUAAAUAGUUGAGGUGAACUCAUAAACCUUAGAAACUUAGAUUAUAUUUGCAGCAUAGAUGGUGAAACAUGGAAUAUUUCUUUUUAGUUCCUAUUGCAUAACAGUCUAUGACACAAAGAUGGAGUUUGGAAUGCAUUUAGAUAUCUAAUACAGCUGUAUUGUAUAUAUUGUGUGUUUUUUUAAAUUAGGCUGUGGCUGUGUGAAAACAAGGACUGUAUCUUGGGCAUUUUCAAAUCUCCAGCUUCUAGCCCAGGUGCUCAGUAGGUAUUUUGUGAAUGAAUGAAUGAAUGAAUCAUAGUAUUGUGAAGAGAUUGUAGACAUGGGAGGGAUGCAUCUUGAAUAACAUGGUGUUAAACUUAACCAAAGUUCCAGUGGUGGGCAUUUCCUUCAGUCCAGAUCAUCAGGUGAAAAAUAAUUCACCCACCAAUUCUGGCUAACUUAAGCCUUCAGACAGCCAUCAUGUGUUUGUCUUCCUUUAAGGGACCUGGAUCAUAUAUAAUGUAAGGUCACCCUUAACAGAUAUUAAUGUAAAAUCAAAUUAGUUAAAAUUAUUUUCAUCUGGGUGUGGUGGCACAUGCCUGCAGCCCCAGCCACUCUGGAGGCUGAGGCGGGAGUGUUGUUUGAGCCCAGGAAUUCUGGGCUGUACUGCACUAUGCCAAUAGGGUAUCCACACUAAGUAUGGCAUCAGUAUGAUGACUUCCCUGGAACAGAGGACUAUAAGUUUCCUAAAGAGG
Molecule: long non-coding RNA, 1162 nt
Filed under: Homo sapiens (human)
Lineage: Eukaryota; Metazoa; Chordata; Mammalia; Primates; Hominidae
Description: HSALNT0125963
Source: RNAcentral